Molecule: long non-coding RNA, 418 nt
Organism: Anopheles merus
Lineage: Eukaryota; Metazoa; Arthropoda; Insecta; Diptera; Culicidae
Exons: 4
Source: RefSeq, a predicted model, not a curated record
ACACAAGAUUGUGUCAAGUUUAAAUUUACAAGUGCUGGGGAGACAUUGAAAAUCUACCAGCCGGCGCGAGUCACACGUGACGAGUCUGGUUGAUCUCCUUCCAUCUCCUCCAUAGAUUCUCUCUAAUGAUGUGAGAUUUAAGUUUGCUCGCACAUUUUGCCGCUUUUCGCACGCAAGAACAAAGUGUCGUCGAUCGUGGCGUUGGAAGCGAUCGCUUUUGGUCAACGGUUUGCCCUGCGGUCGCGGUACCGUCACCCAGUGGUCGGCCAGUGGUACAGCGGUGAGAACUCCUACGACGCCGCGUUGUCGUGCUGUAUAGAAAGAUCCGUAUUUGCCAUGCUGGAGCACGUAUUUUUCAACAAAAAACAUUGAGUAUAGCGUCCCGAUAGAACUGCUCAAAAAUGUGUUUAUUCAUUGG